CCUACGGGUGGCAGCAGUAGGGAAUAUUGCUCAAUGGGGGAAACCCUGAAGCAGCAACGCCGCGUGGAGGAUGAAGGUUUUCGGAUUGUAAACUCCUUUUGUUAGAGAAGAUAAUGACGGUGUCGCACUCCUCCUCCCGGGCUCCACCAUGGCGCGCAGCACCGCUACACAGCCGGGUACAAGCGUUACUCGGAAUCACUGGGCGUAAAGAGCGCGUAGGCCGGAUAGCAAGUCAGCUGUGACACCCUAUGGCUUAACCAUAGAACUGCAUUUGAAACUGUUAUUCUAGAGUAUGGGAGAGGUAGGUGGAAUUCUUGGUGUAGGGGUAAAAUCCGUAGAGAUCAAGAGGAAUACUCAUUGCGAAGGCGACCUGCUAGAACAUAACUGACGCGGUGGCGCGAAGGCGUGGGGAGCAAACAGGAUUAGAUACCCGAGUAGUC
RNAcentral lists this ribosomal RNA (440 nucleotides) under uncultured bacterium. RNAcentral's name for it is "partial 16S ribosomal RNA". It matches the Rfam family "Bacterial small subunit ribosomal RNA", at positions 338 to 795 of the family's 1533-position model. The record is from RNAcentral.